AGGGAAUAUUGCGCAAUGGACGGAAGUCUGACGCAGCGACGCCGCGUGAGCGAUGAAGGUCUUCGGAUCGUAAAGCUCUGUCCUUGGGGAAGAAGGUCUUCGGACUUGACGGUACCCAAGAAGAAAGCCCCGGCUAACUACGUGCCAGCAGCCGCGGUAAUACGUAGGGGGCGAGCGUUGUCCGGAAUUACUGGGCGUAAAGGGUGCGUAGGCGGCCCUUUAAGUCGGAUGUGAAAGCCCGCGGCUUAACCGCGGAAUGGCAUUCGAAACUGGAGGGCUUGAGUGUCGGAGAGGGUAGUGGAAUUCCCAGUGUAGCGGUGAAAUGCGUAGAUAUUGGGAGGAACACCAGUGGCGAAGGCGACUACCUGGACGAUAACUGACGCUGAGGCACGAGAGCUAGGGGAGCAAACAGGA
Molecule: ribosomal RNA, 414 nt
Filed under: uncultured bacterium
Lineage: Bacteria
Description: bacterial SSU rRNA
Rfam family: Bacterial small subunit ribosomal RNA
Source: RNAcentral